This is an RNA transcript of Oreochromis niloticus (Nile tilapia), 6033 nucleotides long. It is a transcript of the gene named cilia and flagella associated protein 69, with no coding region annotated. The record is from RefSeq and is a predicted model, not a curated record. The transcript has 25 exons. NCBI's taxonomy places the organism in Eukaryota, Metazoa, Chordata, Actinopteri, Cichliformes, Cichlidae.
ACAUAAACGGAGAGAAGAAGAGGAGAGGCGAUUGUUAAAAAGCUACGUAAGUUCAGACUGAGCAUCGUUUAAUGUUAGCACGUUUGUUCGAAAACAAAAACAGCAGGUAUUAAAAAAAAGAGGAUGUUUAAAUGUUUAAAAUUUUAGCUUUUAAAAACUGAAGCCAGAAAGCAGUUCUGAAUUUACAAAUGGAUUCGGGAAAAGUUGUGCACAGAAGAAAGCCGGGGAUCCCUGUAAUCGGUUUGACAGCAUCCCAGAAGAGCCACCGCCAUCAGGAGGUUAAUGCUAAAAGUCUCGAUCUCAGUAAGGUGAUUCGUCUUCUUGAAGAUCCUUUGACAACUAACUUGAAGGAAAGACACCUUUUUGUUCUGAAGAAACUACUGAAGAAAAGCCAAAUUGGCUUUCUUUUAAAAGAGCUGACAGCCAUCGCAAAAAUACUCAACAUCUGCGCAGAGAAGGUGACAGAUCACCCCGAAUAUGUGCCCAUUCUGUGUGAAGCUCUUAUAAUUUGUAGGCUUCCCUUUCUGAAGGAGAAGACAUCUGACGAGCUGCACUACGCUCAGGAUGUCACAGAGUUUCUCUCUCAGAUGGGGUGUCUGAUGAGAGUGUCUGAUGCUGAAGUGAGGCAGCUCAUAUUUGAAUGCGUGAAAUCAUUCUACAGCUCUGUGGCUCCCAAACAGAUGCUCGAUGGUACGGAUGGUACCACGCGAAAGCCUCGGACUUUCCCUUCUAACAACCAAUUUUCUAGACUUUCACUAAGCCUCCAGCCGACCUCUCCAGGCUACAGGCUGCAGCUGCUGGAGCGCAGUGAGCUGGCUCAGACACUUCUCCUCUCCAUGGCCACUCUCGAAAACCAGCCCACCAUCAAACUGCAACUCCUUCACAUCCUUCAGAUCCUCUCCAGCUGCUCUGAUAUGAACUGUUCUUCAAUACUCCAUGCUCGAGGAGCAGAGACUGUAUGUCUCCACAUGAACGACUACGACCCGACCGGCCAGGUCCUGUUCCGCUCUUCCGAAAUCCUCUGGAACCUGCUGGAGAGGGGCAACAAGGAGGUGGUCACCGCUCAGCUCGGCACCCUGGAGUGUGUCCUGUCUCUGAAAGAAGCAUUUUUUCACCUGCUGAACACCGGCUCUGGACAUUCAGACCUCCAACUCAGAAACGAUCUGCUCGUGAUCACAACUCUCAUUGCAGAAAGUCCAGGCUCACAGCUUAUUGAGAGUUCAUUUGCCAAACAGCUUGUGGUUUUCAGCACAUUUCCAGAGCUGAAAAGUCACAACCCUUUGAUCCGCAACCUCAAGCUCAGCUAUAGUAACGAAGAUUUGAAAAUGAAGAAGUUGCUGUUGAAUCUGCUGGUUGUUAUGUCGAGGGACUUGGCUGCCCUGCAGCUUUAUAAAGAAGAACGUGUUAUGCUGGCUCUGCUGGCACUCAUGAAGCCGCCUGUCGCCUCCUCGUCUGAGCGUCAGUCGGGGUCGCGUCACUGGUCCGCUGCGCAGAAGGAGGAGCUCCAGCUGCAGGCGCUGGCCACCCUCGCCACCAUCGGGCCGCUCAUGUUGGAGGAGUACAUUUCCUGUGAGGGGAACACCUGUCUGCUGCUCCUGCUGGACUGGUGUGUUGGGCCAGAUUCUUACUUUGGCCAGGGUCACAGCUUCCACGCCACCGGAGGCAGAGGCGGUAAGAAGGCACAGACGCGGCACUGUAUCAGAGUGCUGAGAUCGGUGACUUCUCUGGGCGAAGAGUCUGUAAACCAGGACCUCUGUGAUCAGGGAAUCAUCAACCAGCUUCUGGGGAUUCUCAUGCAGAUAGACGCGGGUCCUGAUGAAGAUGAUGUCGUCACUCUGGAGAUAAAGUCGGAUAUUCAGGUGAUCCUUUCAACGCUGUGUGAGACCGACAUGCACAGAAAGGAACUGUUUGGCUCAGAGGGAGUUGAGAUGGCGGUUCAUUUUCUGAAAAAAGGCUCUGACAAGUUUUACAGCGGCCUCGGACACAACAAGCUCGUGCUCUCCACAGUGGACUGUGUGUGGUCGUGUAUCGUAGGCUGCUACACCACAGAAGAUUACUUUCUGGUUAAAGAGGGGGUGUUUCUUCUCCUCAACUUACUCAGUACAAGCCCCCGGUGUGUGCACGGUGUCGUCCUCGCCACCCUGCUAGAGUUAUGUGACAACCUGAACACGCUGCCGUACAUUCUGACCUGGAGGGACGGCAACGGACAGACGGCUCCCAGACUCCUGCUGCAGCUGUGGAGAGAGGAAGAGGAGGAGCUAGGAGUUCAUCGAAAUCAACAUGGAGGCAUCGCAGAUCCUCAGAGGCCCAUCCUCAGUCUUUUCCAGCUGGAUGAACCUCUGCUUUCAUUUCCUGCUAACGUACCAAGUGCUGCAGUAUUGGAGAUGUCAGAGAACCUGCGAUCGAAGAUUUACUCCAUCUUCUGCAAAAUUGGGUUUCAGGAUCUUCCUGGAUUGUUGGGUAAAGAUUAUGUGACUCUGACCAUCAUCAGGAGAUAUCUAGACUUUAAGGUUGGUGAGGUGUGGGAUGAGAUUAGCCGGGAACUGAGUCUGGAAGGCGUGAGGCCGAUCAGCCCCGACCAGGAGGCUCUGAGCACCAUCUGCAAGAUUGCGGAGGACACGGCGAGGAGGAUCGUGGAGGAACAAAACAGCAUCCUGGAGCACCAUCAGAAGGAGGACAUCAGCGAGGAGAAGCUCACAUACACAGAGAUGAAGUCUCGCUGGAAGCAAAAGGAGUUCAUGGCAAAGUCAUGGGACGAUUACGUUUCUAGGACUUCAAACUAUGAAGCCCUGAAGGAAGUAAAAGCACAGAGGGAGAAGUACGCCGAAUCAUCCAGACCUAAACCAAAGCACGAGGAUGCUGCUAUCCGCCCUGCUGAGCAUUUCAUCGGACACGUCGUUGGAGUGGAGAGCACGGACGCUCAGGGUCCGGCAGGAGUGAAGGUGACGCUGGUCAGAACUCCAGUCAGAGCCCCAAGUCAGGACAAAGGAGAACCAACAACACCAAACCCAGACUACUUCAGCACGGCGUCUUCUGCAGACUGACGUUACCAAAGUCACUCUUAAUACAAGGCAUUCACAUUCUUCAUGUAACAGCAUUUAUUGUGCUGUACGCUCAUAAAAUUAAACUGCACUAAUGUAAAGACUGUAUUAAUGUGUUUUACAGGAAUUGUCAAGAUACAUGAGUAGAGCAGAGGGGUCAUCAAGUUCAUUACAACUUAAAGUGAACUUUAAUAGUUUAAAGCGGUCCAAAAUAACAAAGUCCAAUCGGCAAGAAGAUACACUACAAACAAAAGGUGGGGGGGGCAGUGAAGGAGUGACUCAGUGCAAACAACCCAAAAAUGCAGACUUUAAGUAAGUUAAUUAUGCAAGUUUUUUGUAAUUUUGUUACAAAAGUGAAAUGUUAAACAUUAAAUUUAAUGGUUAAAUGAAAUUUACUUAAUUGGUGUGCAUUCAGUUUAUACCAAGCAUGCUUACCUUAUUGAUUAAUAAUUUGAAUAAUUUGCGUGUUACUCACAGUUAUUGCUUCAUAUUUAUGAGGACAAGCACCAUUGUUUUGAGUGCGAGGUGUAUUUAUAGACAGAGUGACGAUUAGGGAUUAGACACAUGUGAAGACUCAUACCGGACCGGGGGGGGGGCAAAACUCCAGAGCAAAACACAAGGAAGAGAAAAACAACCUAAAGGUAUGGAAGUUUGUCUUUUUCUGUGGCAGAAACAAGCUUCCGUAAAAAAGACAUGUACUAAACACAGAGCCGAGAAAACUCACAUUAAACAUGAAAACAUGAACAAAAAAGACGAGAACAGAUUGGGACAGUCUAAAAUCAAAAUAGGAACCGAAGCAAAAUACAGGCCAAGAUCUAAAAACUAAGGCUAGAACAAUAAAGCCAACUUGUCAGGAAGAGAAAACGAGAAAGAUAAAAUAAAAAUAAUUCAAGAAAGCUGCUUAUAGUGUUUAUGUUUCUGGUUCCUGUGGCUCUAUGCAGCAGAUGCAGACGUGAGGUCACUCCAUGUGUACAAUCAACACCUUGUAGUCCAGCCCACCACCCCAGCCCUUCACACAGGCACACACACAGAGUCUCUGUCCUUUCAGACAACGUUACACUGGCUUACUUUAAUUUCCUGAAGACUUAUCUGAGCCAUAACCAGACUAUUAUAUUUUUAUUUAUUUUCUUUUUUUCCCAAGUCCUCUCAACGUGACUGUCAGAAGCAGUAACUUGGCUUUCCUUUGGAGCUAACAUGACUUAUUUCAGUGCACAGAACAUUCAUAUACAAUCUGUUUUAAAUUCAAAUUGUUUUUUUUCCAAAUAAUUAUGGUUUUUGCAUCAAAACUAAUAAAGUAAUUCGAUUUAUUAACAAUAAUCUUUAAAUCGUUAAAAAUAAAAUGUUUUCAUCCUACAUUUAUGUAACCACUCCUGCACCACAAACAAAGAGAGCCUGAACAAUCAAUGUGGCCUCAUAGACUCCGUUGCAUUAUGUAACAUCACUGUACCUUCAAACAUAAUAAACCCACGGUGUAAUUACAUCCACUCGAGGUUAACGCUCUCAUUAAAUGCUGCAGCUCGCUGUUUUUUUGGCAGUAAAAAUUAACCUUUUUACUGCUGGGUUGUUAAAAAGUAUUUUAUCUUUUUUGGGUUACAUAAGUGACUGCAGUGCAUUAACACACAUGUUCCUUCAAGCGUGCAACAUGCUGCACAGAGCGACCUCUUCUUCUUCUCCUCCUCUCUCUGCUCUCACCCGUUUCACUGGCUGGAUGGCCAAAUCACCCCUGACAGGCCGGAGCUUUUCAUGCGGCUCUGCGAGUGUUUGUGUGGCACACUGUACAAAAGAGCAGGGAGACACAGGACCCUCUUCAGCGCAUCAGGCUGCCCGCUGUUUGCUCAGACUGCCGAGGGGCUUCACGGGGCCGGAGGUCCGUCUGCCGUCGAUGAAGGCACGUCUGGAUCCCAACUGGAUGCUCAUCAACACCACGAGGACCUCCUAACUUCAAACUGAAGCUCCUCUUCCCAUCUGAGAAGCUGAGGCAGCAGGAAUGAUCAUCAGACUGGGAAGACUGACACCGGGAUACUUCCGCCUCCUCCAGAGGCAGAUGUCGGGUGAGGUCCAGAUUCAGCCGCAGAGCAGCCUCAUCGAUCCCAUCGCCAUGACGAUGGCCGCGGUGGGGAUGGGAGUGUCUCUGUACAGCGCCAGGCGGAUGUCAGAGAGAGUCCAGCUGAAGCGGCCAAACGCCUGAGAGAUCUCACCUGUUCACUGGUUCAGUUUCUGCUGCACAGGCGGUUCAUGCGACAGAGGUUGUGUUUGUGAACGUCAGAGAAAGUCAGCGGAGGGGGAGUGUGUUUAUGUGUGUGGGUGUGUCUGUGUGGUGCUAGAAGGAAAAUCUAAGUGUCCCCAAAGGAAAAUGUGAGUCGGUGAUCAGCAUGUGUGAAGCUGUAGUUUGAUAACCCUACGUGUUGUGUGCAGGAUAUCUUUAAAAGGAGUGCGUAUUAAAUCAGAGAUUUGUACUUUAAUGCAAUUAAUCCUCAAUUAACAAACAGCAUUAGAGUUUAGUUUAAAAAUGUGUAUAAUACAGAUGUAAUCCAAUUCAAUUCAAUUUUAUUUAUGUAGAACCAAAUCACAACAACAGUCGCCUCAAGGUGCUUUAUAUUGUCAGGUAAAAAUCCUACAAUAAUACAAGGAAAACAGAGAAAAGCUCAACAAUGAUAUGACCCCCUAUGAACAAGUGCUUUGGCGACAGUGGGAAGGAAAAACUCCUUUUUAACAGGAAGAAACAUCCAGCAGAACUAAUGUAUGUAUAAAAUCUUACAAACUUAUUUUAUUCUUAAUAUUAGUCACAAAUGCACCUUUCCAGGCAUUUCUUGUAGUUUGUAUAUAAAUCCUUGAGCAGCGUCACAUCUGAGUAUUUCUUCACUAAUCACACUAAGAAUCUUCGAAACAUCUUCGAACGACUUACUGAAGAAAAUGUCUGUAAAUGUAAGAUGCUAACUCAGAAAUAUCUACACUUAUUUGUGCGUCUAAUAAAAAUGUUCACAUUUUCUGA